Molecule: ribosomal RNA, 1498 nt
Filed under: Corynebacterium striatum
Lineage: Bacteria; Bacillati; Actinomycetota; Actinomycetes; Mycobacteriales; Corynebacteriaceae
Description: partial 23S ribosomal RNA
Rfam family: Bacterial large subunit ribosomal RNA
Source: RNAcentral
GUUAUUUAGGGCGCAUGGUGGAUGCCUUGGCAUGCUGAGCCGAUGAAGGACGUGAAAGGCUGCGUUAAGCCUCGGGGAGUUGUCAAUUGAGCGUUGAUCCGAGGAUGUCCGAAUGGGGAAACCUGGCACCUGUUAUGGGGUGUUACCCUUCAGUGAAUUCAUAGCUGUUGUGGGGGUUACGCGGGGAAGUGAAACAUCUCAGUACCCGUAGGAAGAGAAAAUAAUAAUGAUUCUGCUAGUAGUGGCGAACGAACGUGGAUGAGGCUAAACCGUGUGCAUGUGAUACCUGGUAGGGGUUGUGUGUGCGGUGUUGUGGGCCCUGAUGAGGAUGGCUACUGACGUCCUGCCCGCGCAUUGUUGUUAGGUGAAGUGGUGUGGAAACGCCUGCCGUAGAAGGUGAUAGUCCUGUAGCUGAAGAUGAUGGUGUGUGGGUUGUUGGGUUGCCCGAGUAGCAGCGGGCUCGUGGAAUCUGCUGUGAAUCUGCCGGGACCACCCGGUAAGCCUAAAUACUCAGUGUGACCGAUAGUGGAUAGUACCGUGAGGGAAUGGUGAAAAGUACCCCGGGAGGGGAGUGAAAUAGUUCCUGAAACCAUGUGCUUACAAUCCGUCAGAGCACUUUUUGUGUGUGAUGGCGUGCCUUUUGAAGAAUGAGCCUGCGAGUCAGCGGCAUGUCGCGAGGUUAACCCGUGUGGGGUAGCCGUAGGGAAACCGAAUCCUAAUGGGGUGUUUUAGUGGCAUGUCCUGGACCCGAAGCGGGGUGAUCUACCCAUGGCCAGUGUGAAGCAGCAGUAAGAUGCUGUGGAGGCGCGAACCCACGUAGGUUGAAAACUGCGGGGAUGAGCUGUGGGUAGGGGUGAAAGGCCAAUCAAACUCCGUGAUAGCUGGUUCUCCCCGAAAUGCAUUUAGGUGCAGCGUCGCAUUAGCUUGGUGGAGGUAGAGCUACUGGUUGGUUGAGCGGGACUACAAUCUUAGCAAUGUCAGCCAAACUCCGAAUGCCAUUAAUGUGUUGUGCGGCAGUGAGACUGUGGGGGAUAAGCUUCAUAGUCGAGAGGGAAACAGCCCAGAUCGCCGGUUAAGGCCCCUAAGGGUGUGCUAAGUGGAAAAGGAUGUGGGAUCGCGAAGACAGCCAGGAGGUUGGCUUAGAAGCAGCCAUCCUUGAAAGAGUGCGUAAUAGCUCACUGGUCGAGUGGUUCUGCGCCGACAAUGUAGUGGGGCUCAAGCACACCGCCGAAGCCGCGGCAAUAAUAUUUUGUUAUUGGGUAGGGGAGCGUCGUGCACGUGUUGAAGCGUUACCGUGAGGAGGCGUGGAGUGUGUGCGAGUGAGAAUGCAGGCAUGAGUAACGAAUUGGAAGGUGAGAAUCCUUCCCGCCGGAUGACUAAGGGUUCCUGGGUCAAGUUCGUCUUCCCAGGGUGAGUCGGGACCUAAGGCGAGGCCGACAGGCGUAGUCGAUGGAUAACCAGUUGAUAUUCUGGUACCCGAGUAUAUGCGCCCCUGAUA